GUCCUUUUGAUAAUAAUUUAAGGUCUAACCUGCCCACUGAAAAUUUAAAUGGCCGCGGUAUUUUGACCGUGCAAAGGUAGCAUAAUCAUUAGUUUUUUAAUUGAAAGCUGGAAUGAAAGGUUGGAUAAAAAAAAAUCUGUCUUUAAAUAAUUUUAUUAGAAUUUUAUUUUUAAGUUAAAAAGCUUAAAUUUUUUUAAAAGACGAGAAGACCCUAUAGAGUUUUAUAAAAUUUUUAAAAUUAAUUUUUAGAAUUUUAAUUUAAUUUUAUUUUUUUUAUUUAAUUGGGGUGAUUAAAAAAUUAAAAUAACUUUUUUUUAUUAAUCCAUUAAUUUAUGAAUUUUUGAUCCUUUAUUUAAGAUUAAAAGAUAAAAUUACCUUAGGGAUAACAGCGUAAUUUUUUUUGAGAGUUCAAAUCGAAAAAAAAGAUUGCGACCUCGAUGUUGGAUUAAAAUUAAUUUCUGGUGUAGAAGUUAGAAAUUUAGGUCUGUUCGACCUUUAAAAUUUUACA
RNAcentral lists this ribosomal RNA (508 nucleotides) under Lepturinae sp. BMNH#704361. RNAcentral's name for it is "partial 16S ribosomal RNA". The stretch from base 382 to 508 matches the Rfam family "Bacterial large subunit ribosomal RNA", at positions 2473 to 2600 of the family's 2925-position model. The record is from RNAcentral. Lineage: Eukaryota; Metazoa; Arthropoda; Insecta; Coleoptera; Cerambycidae.